Molecule: ribosomal RNA, 305 nt
Filed under: uncultured bacterium
Lineage: Bacteria
Description: bacterial SSU rRNA
Rfam family: Bacterial small subunit ribosomal RNA
Source: RNAcentral
UCCUACGGGGCGCAGCAGUGGGGAAUAUUGCGCGAUGGGCGAAAGCCUGACGCAGCGACGCCGCGUGAGGGAUGGAGGUCUUCGGAUCGUAAACCUCUGUCAGCAGGGAAGAACGGUCACUGUGCUAAUCAGCAGUGAAUUGACGGUACCUGCAAAGGAAGCACCGGCUAACUCCGUGCCAGCAGCCGCGGUAAUACGGAGGGUGCGAGCGUUAAUCGGAAUUACUGGGCGUAAAGCGCUCGUAGGCGGUAUGUCAAGUCAAGGGGGAAAUCCCCGCGCUCAACGUGGGAACUGCCUUUGAAACU